This 693-nucleotide long non-coding RNA is filed under the name Homo sapiens (human). RNAcentral describes it as "HSALNT0065555". The record is from RNAcentral. Lineage: Eukaryota; Metazoa; Chordata; Mammalia; Primates; Hominidae.
CCCCGCCCCGCGUCGCCUCCCAGCCCUGGCUCCCAGUGCUCCGGGCUUGCUGACGGUACAGGGUGGACAGCCCCGAGACAUUUUCAUCAGAUCUCGUCUCCCGCAGCCCAGCGCUGCUGCCGGGGGUCGGACAGGGCCGAUCCCAGCACCCCUCCCCCGAGCCCUGGCUGGGCGAGAAACCGAGAUGGUGGCUGCAGAAACCGGAGCCCCCGCGCCGGGGCGACCGCGAGGGGCCGAGGCCUUUGAGAGCGCUGCCGCCCCUUGCCAAGAAAUUCUUCCCGUGGAAGACAGUCAUGCUGCCUACCCAAGAGCCUACCCAAGAAGUACUCCACUGUGCAACUGAACCAUCAGUCUUGUGCAACAAGAAGCAAGACAGGCGGGGCAUGGUGGCUCACACAUGUAAUCCCAGUACUUUGGGAGGCCGAGGUGGGUGGAUCACCUGAGGUCAGGAGUUCGAGACCACCCUGGCCAACAUGGCAAAACCCCAUCUCCUCUACUAAAAAUACAAAAAUUAGCUGGGCGUGCUGGCAGGCUCCUGUAAUCCCAGCUACUCAGGAGGCUGAGGCAGGAGAAUCUUUUGAACCUGGGAGGCGGAGGUUGCAGUGAGCUGAGAUCACGCCAUUGCACUCCAGCCUGGGCAACAGAGCGAGACUCUGCCUGAAAAAAGAAAGAAGAAGAAGGAGAAGGAGAAGG